AGAGUUUGAUCCUGGCUCAGAACGAACGCUGGCGGCAGGCUUAACACAUGCAGGUCGAACGGUUGUAGCAAUACAGCAGUGGCGCACGGGUGAGUAACGCGUGGGAACGUGCCUUUCAGUCUGGAAUAACGUCGGGAAACUGACGCUAAUACCGGAUAUUCUCUACGGAGGAAAGAUUUAUCGCUGAAAGAUCGGCCCGCGUUAGAUUAGGUAGUUGGUGGGGUAAUGGCCUACCAAGCCUACGAUCUAUAGCUGGUCUGAGAGGAUGAUCAGCCACACUGGAACUGAGACACGGUCCAGACUCCUACGGGAGGCAGCAGUGGGGAAUAUUGGACAAUGGGCGCAAGCCUGAUCCAGCCAUGCCGCGCGAGUGAUGAAGGCCUUAGGGUUGUAAAGCUCUUUUGUCAGGGAAGAUAAUGACGGUACCUGAAGAAUAAGCACCGGCUAACUUCGUGCCAGCAGCCGCGGUAAUACGAAGGGUGCUAGCGUUGUUCGGAAUCACUGGGCGUAAAGGGCGCGUAGGCGGCGUCGCAAGUCAGAGGUGAAAGCCUGGAGCUCAACUCCAGAAUUGCCUUUGAAACUGCGAUGCUAGAGUGUCGGAGGGGAUAGCGGAAUUGCUAAUGUAGAGGUGAAAUUCGUAGAUAUUAGCAGGAACACCGGUGGCGAAGGCGGCUAUCUGGACGACAACUGACGCUGAGGCGCGAAAGCGCGGGGAUCAAACAGGAUUAGAUACCCCCGUAGUCC
RNAcentral lists this ribosomal RNA (744 nucleotides) under uncultured bacterium. Its description in RNAcentral is "bacterial SSU rRNA". It matches the Rfam family "Bacterial small subunit ribosomal RNA", at positions 8 to 796 of the family's 1533-position model. The record is from RNAcentral.